CCUGUCUCGUUCCUAAAGGCAGAGAUGAUCUCCGUCACUGCCAAACUGCCCACGUCCUCCUCGUCUCUCAUUCCUCUUGACCUCGUCAUGCUCAAAGGAUGACAACCCUGUCCAAGAGCAGAGAUGAGGCAGCCAAUGGAAACCUUCUGUCAACCCGCUGUGCUCUUCCCACCACAGCGAGCCAAGGAAGAUGUCCUCUGGGGUACCAUCGGGGUCAGGGCCCCUCUGACUCAACCCCCAGAUGACCUAACAAUAGCAAGAAGAGCACAGAACACUCCAGGAGUCAGAAAGCCUGCCCAUAAAUGCAGGGAGGAACAGCAGGGCAGGAUCAGGAGACUACAGCAGAUGACAGGCCACUAUGUCCCCAAUAAACGGGCAGAAUACUACAAUGGCGGAUCCCAGAGCAGGUUCUGAAGGGCACCAAGUCUACACGAGGAAAGUCUGCACAGGACAUAAGGGUACGGCAAACACUGGCAGUUAAAGAUUUCUGGAACAAAAUGAAGGCAUUUGGGUCCUAUAAAACUGAAGGCCCACUACUACAGCAUGAGAGCCGGAUCCCAGAGGAUGGUCUGAGCAGAGUAUCAGACACAGUGUACGCAUCUCCCCAGAGCUGUCCAGCCUCCUCUGCCCCCCGGGCCACGACCACUUCACCUUCUCGCACUGUUAGCUGUCUUGACCUCCCUCUUGGUGAAGCCCAGACUCUGCUAGAAGCAACAGCAGCUCAAGUGCCCAGAUAUAACCCAACCAGAUCCACAGAGCUCUAGCUUCUCCAGAGCUGCCCUCAGAAACCAGGUGACAAACCUAGAACUGCAAGGGAAUUAAUGCCCCUUGGGGCCAACAUUGAGAGGUCAGAGCACUUGAUUGCCGUUGCAAAACUCACCAGUGCUCUCUUUUCCCUCUGGAAUGGGGAUUGGCGACAUUCAAGAUGGUGACUGUCACAUCAGCCUGAGUCCUCAAGUAAGAAAAUGUGCAGCAAAGCACUCAGCUGACCUGCAAUGGACGUAUGAUAUGAGCAAGAAAUAAACCUUUGUUGUUUUAAGCCA
RNAcentral lists this long non-coding RNA (1043 nucleotides) under Equus caballus (horse). RNAcentral describes it as "lncRNA (ENSECAG00000056136.1)". The record is from RNAcentral. Lineage: Eukaryota; Metazoa; Chordata; Mammalia; Perissodactyla; Equidae.